RNAcentral lists this transfer RNA (90 nucleotides) under Candidatus Bathyarchaeota archaeon. Its description in RNAcentral is "tRNA-Sec". It matches the Rfam family "Selenocysteine transfer RNA". The record is from RNAcentral. Lineage: Archaea; Thermoproteati; Candidatus Bathyarchaeota.
GGCGUCCAGCAGUGUUGGUGGUCCGCACCUCGGACUUCAAAUCCGACGCAGCCCGAUAAGGACUGGGAGUUCGAUUCUCCCUGGACGCCG